RNAcentral lists this long non-coding RNA (1561 nucleotides) under Trifolium pratense (red clover). RNAcentral describes it as "long non-coding RNA (TPRA_LNC002321)". The record is from RNAcentral. Lineage: Eukaryota; Viridiplantae; Streptophyta; Magnoliopsida; Fabales; Fabaceae.
UUGUCAUUUCACAUGGAGCACCAAUCUGCAAUUAGCUGUGGAAUAUAUUCACAUUGUUGUAUUCUAAAGCAUUUAGUGAUUUCUACUUUGACUGAAUUCUUCAUGUUUCUGUCUCUUGAUUAUAGCUUUCUUGAUUCCUUGAGUUCUAUGUGGGUGUCACACGGAGGAUACGGACUGCAAAAGCUGUUGUGAGAUUAUGAGGUACUGCUUGGUUGUUACUGUGCAGAUAACCUAUGAUUGUAAUGUGGGAUAAAACUUGGUCAUUAUUAUAAUGUACUUUUUAUGGACCGGAAUAGUUGUCUUUUGAUGGUGUGAUGUGGUAGUAUAUGAUUCUGGUGUACAUCUCUUAGCUUGGUUAUUAUGUGAGUUUUAUGAUAUACUUGGUUCACAGAUCAUAAUUUUGUCAAAUUGUUUUGUAUUACUUUUCUCGGGAUUUGAUCUGGCUUUUUGAGUUUUCUGUGUGGUUGUUAGAUGUAGUUGUCAUUUCCUUUGAGAUAACAUACUUUCAUUUGAUUCAGCCUUGGAGUCUGUCAUGUUUUUACUUAUAUAUGUUAUGUCAUGCUGGUCUUGGUGAUUUUAUGUUUCUGCAUCAGGAACAUGAAAACUGUAGCAUACAAGAUUCUAAAAUACUCCGUAUAUCUGUUCUCUGGAUAAGGAAUUCUGGAUCCAUCUGGUAUACAUAGGAAGCCUAUAUUUUUUACUGAAUUUGCAACUGGUUGUGACAUAUGUUCUCAUUGUUGUUAUGCUUUCAUUUGGUGAUCUCUACCUUGACUAUGAAUUUUUCAUGUUUUUUUGUCUUUUAUGAGGAUCUAGUUUUUGCGAUUCUUUUGUAAGAUCCAUGUGGGAGUUACCGGGGAGAUAGCCUAUGAAUGUACUGUGGGAAUGUCAAAGCUUUGGUGGACACUAUCAAGGGCAUUCUUCUGGCCUCACGUUAAAAAAGAUAAUUGUUCUGGAAUAGUUAGUGUCUAAUGGCACGGUGUGAUCUGCCAUAUUACUGUGUAGUAGUGUUUUUCAAGAACUAGUUUUUCAGCAUGGUGCCUCAAGAUUUGAUUUUUCUGAUCUCUGUUGAUUUCUUUUCCUUUUAAUAUUUCCUUUCUGUGAUUCAGAGUCUAGUGUUUUUGUGAUGCAGAAUAAAAUCUUUGAACGUGUCUAGAUUAUUUCUGGUUCAAGCUUUCUCAUGUUUGUUCUUCAUGUUUGUAAUCUAUCUGGCUUGUGGUUUUGGCUUCUUUCUUGCUUCAGAAGUUUUCUUGUUAUUGAAGUGAUUUGAUUGCUUUCCUUCAUUCUGUUUUCAACAUCGGAAUUUGUUGUACCUUCAAUAAAUUACUUCUUAUUCUGGCUUACCAAUAAAACUUUGUUCUGAAUCAACAGGAAAGAUUGAAAGUUGAAUUUGUGAAAAGCUUUGUCAUUCGUUACUGAAAUAAGCAGCCUCGAGAGUUCAUACUUGUGGACAGUGCGUCCAAAUUGUUCGUCAUGGCCUAUUUCCCUGUUGGAAUAAUUAAUAUUUGGUGAUGUCUGUGCAUGCCUAAAACAACUAAUUCUUCAACUCCGUAAUUGGGAUGAG